AUGGCUCAGGACAAACGCUGGCGGCGUGCCUAACACAUGCAAGUCGAACGGGACUCAGCUGAUGGUAACUGAUGUUGAGUUAGUGGCGGACGGGUGAGUAACGCGUGAGUAACCUGCCUUUCAGUGGGGGACAACAGAGGGAAACUUCUGCUAAUACCGCAUGAUACAGCGAGAUCGCAUGGUCUUGCUGUCAAAGAUUUAUCGCUGAAAGAUGGACUCGCGUAUGAUUAGAUAGUUGGUGAGGUAACGGCCCACCAAGUCGACGAUCAUUAGCCGGACUGAGAGGUUGAACGGCCACAUUGGGACUGAGACACGGCCCAGACUCCUACGGGAGGCAGCAGUGAGGAAUAUUGGGCAAUGGGCGCAAAGCCUGACCCAGCAACGCCGCGUGAAGGAAGACGGUCUUCGGAUUGUAAACUUCUUUUGUCAGGGACGAAUAAUGACGGUACCUGGCGAAUAAGCCACGGCUAACUACGUGCCAGCAGCCGC
Molecule: ribosomal RNA, 489 nt
Filed under: uncultured bacterium
Lineage: Bacteria
Description: bacterial SSU rRNA
Rfam family: Bacterial small subunit ribosomal RNA
Source: RNAcentral